Long non-coding RNA from Salvelinus sp. IW2-2015, 2239 nucleotides. RefSeq lists it as uncharacterized. NCBI's taxonomy places the organism in Eukaryota, Metazoa, Chordata, Actinopteri, Salmoniformes, Salmonidae. The record is from RefSeq and is a predicted model, not a curated record.
UUCAAACAGCUGUAAAAAUGAUUUAUUUUUAUUGAAAAUAUAUUUUACGGUGAUUUAGAUGAUACAAUAAUUCCCUACAAUAUUCAGUGCUUGAUCUCUCACAAAAUCUGACAUUGAGCAAACAGUGUAGAAUUUUUGCAACCAGGAAAUGACAGAGCGAUUCCACUAGAUAACACAGCCAUAAAGUCAAAACAGCUUUCCCAUUUUGACAACAGAUGCCACUCCGGCAAGAGAAAUCAAUAGGCAAAUAUCACAGCCAAUCACAACACUGGCAGAUAAGUUAUAUUGUUAAACACUACAAUUCCAAUAUUACUGCAGAUAUAUUAUCGACAUUUUUGGAAAUUAGCACAAAUGAAUUUWAAAAAAUUGUAACACCUUUUAUGUUUAGGUUUAAAAUCAGAUUAAAUAGGCAGGGUUAAUGACUUUGGCUGUGGUAACUGGWGACCACCUAUUUUUGAGCACAGAAGAGGAAAGGGUGAACGAUGGCUGACAAUAAAGAGGUAAGUUUGAUCGUUUUUCAGUAGAGAAACUAAUAAACCAACUAGCUUAGCUAAUCAGCUAUCAUUUCAAUAUUGAAGUAGGUAGUUAUUUGAUAUUCUGUUUUAAAAGCAGGUUAUUAGGUUAACGAUAGUAGGUAGGAAGCUAACGUUUAACUKUGUGGUUUAACCAAAGAUGGUUUCGUUUUCUAUACCGUCUCUGGUUUAACUAAGAGCAUUGUAAGUAAGUCAACGAGGGGUUUAGUAGAGGAAGAGGACUUGGAAGAGUAGUAUGACUGGGAAGGAGUGGCAGAAGAGCGGGGAGAGGCAUGGUGAGAACAGACCACUGAAGUAUAAGAACAGACAGUGAGGACUCACUGUGGAAGAGGGCUAUGAUUGAGGAGGGGAAGUCGAGAGGUCAGGCUCCGAACCAAAUAAUAGCUAAUAUUGUAAAAUGCUAAGCGCAUACUUUAAAAUGAUUUGAAUAGAUUUGAUCACUUUUAAUCUGUCAGCUUUUGUGCAGUUACAAUAAAUGAGAAUGACGUCAAAAACAAUUCUCUCUCCAUACCUCUUUCCAUGCAGGUCCACUGUCACUAAUAUGUGGUGGUGAAGUCCCAAUGGGCACAGACGUCAAUUCAACGUCUAUUCCACGUUGGUUCAGCGUAAUUUAAUUGAAAUGACGUGGAAACAACGUUGAUUAAACCAGUGUGUGCCAAGUGGGGUUGUUCUUUGCUCAGCUGACAGACCAGAGAUACAGGAGCCCAUUCGGUUCCAAGUUGCUUACCUUGGCUCUCCUCUACGUACAGCAUUCUGGGGACUUCUAGCAGUUGUUCUCAGGAGACGGUCAGUGUGCGUAGAGAGAACCUUGUUUGACCAGGUGGAGUCAGGCUUCUACAUCAUCGCCCUGGACCACUACACCAACAAGGCAGAGGACACCAACUUUGGACCAAUGGCUCUGGCUUGCUGAUAACAUCUGAUCUGAUGAGACUCCCGAUGCGAUUUGACUUCUGUAUUACUGACUGGWUUCAAUAAAACUUCUUUUGAGAUUCUGUAAUUGAUAGACAGUGGUAGUUCCCAAUCAGACAAUUACUAUAAAACAAAUCUGUUUUCCUCAGUGCAAUGUUUGGUGAAUGCAUGGCAUUGUUUUGUUCUCAGUCCUCCUUUUGAAUGCUGUGUGUACUGAUUCAGUUCUAAACGACCUUUGAGUCCAUCCUCACCUCUUCCAUUACUGCAAUGAAUUGUCCGGUCUGCUGAGAGGGUCAUUGGGUACCACCUGCUCUCCAUCGCYGUACUGCAUAACUCCAAYGCAAGGAAGCAUGCAGGAAAGAUCAUCGCUGACCUCUUCCACCCCCUCUGGCAAACGGUUCAGGUCAAUCACGAUCAAAAUCUCCCUCCACCUGAACCAUUUCAACCGGCCACCUGGUUCACAAUGAUCCUCUUAUCCGCAUGGACUUUGCACUAUUCAUCCACCGACUAUGCACCCUGCACUAUUCAUCCACCGACUAUGCACCCUGCACUAUUCAUCCACCGACUAUGCACCCUGCAUUAUUCAUCCACCGACUAUGCACCCUGCACUAUUCAUCCCAGACCUGCACGACUCUUACAUGCAUCAUUUAGGAUGUAGCUUAUAGUUCAGUCUGUAGUUUUUUAGCUUAGUGUUCAUACUGUAUGUGGAUCUGUGGAAAUMCUGUGUGUAUAAUGUCUMUAUAUUAUGUUUAUUGUGGUAGCACCGUUUCACAGUUUGAGGAAGCACAUUUAUAAUA